This 253-nucleotide ribosomal RNA is filed under the name uncultured bacterium. Its description in RNAcentral is "partial 16S ribosomal RNA". It matches the Rfam family "Bacterial small subunit ribosomal RNA", at positions 524 to 776 of the family's 1533-position model. The record is from RNAcentral.
UACGAAGGGGGCUAGCGUUGCUCGGAAUUACUGGGCGUAAAGGGCGCGUAGGCGGAUAUUUAAGUCGGGGGUGAAAGCCCAGGGCUCAACCCUGGAAUAGCCUUCGAUACUGGAUAUCUUGAGUACGGGAGAGGUGAGUGGAACUCCGAGUGUAGAGGUGAAAUUCGUAGAUAUUCGCAAGAACACCAGUGGCGAAGGCGGCUCACUGGCCCGAUACUGACGCUGAUGCACGAAAGCGUGGGGAGCAAACAGG